AACAACAUUCCUUAGCCUGCCUGGGUACGUGCAGGUCUAGCCGGUCAGUUUUCAGGACAAAUCAUAAAAAUACUUAUCCAUACAGAACAGAUACUAUGGAUAUUGGUCUGCAGUUCUCUCUUUCUGGUGAUGUCUUUACCUGAUUUUGAUAUAGGGUAAUGCUGGCCUCAUAGAAUGAAUUUGGAAGUUUUCCUUUUCUACUUUUUGGACCCAUUUGAGAAUAGGAAUUUAUACAUUUGAGAAGACAGCGUUUAAGCAGACAUGUGAAGAAGGUAGAGGAAGAGCUGCAGGAUGUCUGUGGGAUGAGCAUUCCAGGCAGAUGGACGGAGCGCAGAGGCCCGAAAGUGGGAGUGAACCUGGAGCGCUAAAGCAACAGCAGAGAAUAGCGUGGUUGCAGCAGAGCGAGCAAAGGAAGGGGAGGGAAGCAAAGUCAGAGAGGUGGCGCCAGGUCUAGCGGCCACAGAAAGGACCCUGUCACAUGACUUGAGAUGGAAAUCACCACUAACGGUUGACUGGUCUGUUUGUAAGUAGUUUAUUGAAGUGUGUAUCAAUUUCUUAGGACUGCCAUACAAAUCACUACAAACGGGAUGGCUUAAACCAAUAGCAAUUUUGUUCUCUCCAUGUUCGGGCAUCUAGAAAUCUAAAAUCAGGGUGUCCGUAGGGUUCAUUCUUCCUGGAGGCUGAGCCUGAGGAACUAUAAAAUCUGGAGGAAGGGAGAUAAUACAGCUAAGACUGAGAACUAUUAGCAAGACAGGAACGAACCAAGAGAAUGUGGUGUCUCUCCUAGAAAUCAAGUGAAGAACCUGUUUCAACGGUGCCGAAGAAAUGUUGCUGGGAGGUUAACUGAGAGGGGGACUGAGACUGACCAUCAGCUGGGCAGUACGAAAGUCACUGGAGACCUUGAUAAGAAUAAUAACAGCUGAGACAAUGGGAGGAAAGGAAAGGAAGAAAACACAAUUCUUUAGAGACACUUUGCUCUAAGAGCGGAUAAUGGAGCAAUAUAGAAAAGUGUCAUGUUCAGCAGCACUUUGGCCCCCAAUGAGUUUUCUUCUGGUUAAAAGCAGGUGCCUGAGUAUUUGAAGAAUUGCCCAAGAGCAUGGAGUGCAUGCGGUACAAGCCAAGGGCCUGGUCCAACCCUAUUGUCAUGCUGAUUUUGCCCCCCCCACCUCCCGCCACGGAUGAAAAGAGGUGGGGGGGAGGGGCAGAGAGAGAGAGAAUCUUAAACAGGCUCCACACCCAGCGUGGGAACCUAAGAUAAGGAAUCAGCACAGGAAGUUCAAGUAAUUUGCAUAAAGUCACCCAGCCUGUACAGAGCAGACCUGAAAUCCAAUUCGGGAAUUCUGACUCUAGCUGCUAUGCUGUUGUAGUAGACAGAAGUCUACUAGUAAAUUACAAGCACGGAAGCUGGUAGGGAAAUUAGCUUUUAAUCAAACCCUGAAUCAGGUCUCAUACAUUUUAGAGACUCCACCAAAUGACAGUCAAAGAAAAAAAGACAGUAGCAGUCCCCAACAAAGGGAAAAGAGAAAGAGGCCUCCAUGGAAGGGAGUUUAACAAACGUGUGGGAUACAGAAAGUAAGUGAAGGAAUGGUAACCAAGGAGGCCAGACCAAGGAAGUCACAGCCUUCAGCCCUCACAGACCCAGCCACACAAGAGAUCUGCCUACAGGAAGUCAAAAGAGGCUGUGAACCCAAGCGCAUGUCCCUGGCCAGAGAGCAGAGGUAAGACAGGAAGCUGAACUACUUCUGAACAAAGAAUAGUCAACUCCCUGAUGCUGUACAAAGAAGUGAACUGUUCGUAGGAGAACCCGGCAGCGAGAAUGGGUGCUGGUACCUUAAGGCAAAGUCCUCAAUAUCGUGACAUUCAGGAUUCUCACUUAACAUCCAGCUCCCUCGUCUGCUUUCCCUAUAGUAAAGCCCAACUAGUUGAUUUUCCCCACAAAAUACAGAGCACUUAAGUCAGCUUUGUAGCCCAACUUCUAAGCAUGAGCAUAAGCAAAGACAAUCAGACAUUUAAAGAAAGCACACCAGACAGAAACACCACAACUCACAAACCAGAAGAGUGAGACAAUCCAGAGAACAAAAGCCAACAAACGUCCCUGUCCUACCAGGUACCCCAAUGAGAUCCGUGAAAUUACUGCAUCUAUGAUCCUAGUUUUCUUCCUCCCAUCUUCAACCCAAAUCCGCACUGAUGAUGGCUCUGACAAUAUGUCACAUGCCGUAACUGCUGGCUGAGGGGCUCAGACCGCCAAAAGUCAGAGCCUACAGGGCUCUGUGCUGGGUCUCUUUUUGCCCUCUGCCAAGUGACCUCGUCGAUAUGUUGUAAGAUCCAUUGAAGGAGAAGCCUGGUCUCUCUUCAUUGAAUUUGCAGUGCUAAGAACAGUGCCUGGCACCUUGUGAAAUGAAUGCUGGCAUUAUCCAAACCUCUCCAGUGAGUUCUAGACCAGGACCACCAGCUGCCUGCUUGUUAUUUCUAGAUCUUACCUCACAAGGGCCUCAAAAUACAUUCUAAACUUGCUCCUUCCCCCACCCCGACUAACCUAAGCAUGGUCUUUAUUUCUUUUCAAUCUCCC
Molecule: long non-coding RNA, 2569 nt
Organism: Mustela lutreola (European mink)
Lineage: Eukaryota; Metazoa; Chordata; Mammalia; Carnivora; Mustelidae
Exons: 6
Source: RefSeq, a predicted model, not a curated record